This is a long non-coding RNA of Brassica napus (rape), 739 nucleotides long. RefSeq lists it as uncharacterized. The transcript has 3 exons. Lineage: Eukaryota; Viridiplantae; Streptophyta; Magnoliopsida; Brassicales; Brassicaceae. The record is from RefSeq and is a predicted model, not a curated record.
CUCUUUUUAUAGCUAUCGCGAUCUUGGCUAAUUGACUAUCUAUUCGCUUAAUAUAUUCAUUCAGGGUUUCAAAUUUUUUCCUCAGCUCGUAGUGAACUAAAUCAAUCUUUUCACCCAGAUUUACACCUAUUUUCUGAUUUCCAGUAAAUGUUUGAUUUAACCUAGAUUUAAUCUUUUCCCUGUACGGGCUGUUCAUCGCAUCAUAUCUUCAGGUAAAGCCUAAGAUCACUAAACCCAGUGUGCUGAUCAUGAAGAUCCACUGCAUAUGUGGGUUUUGUUUGUCCUUCCAGAUUCGACGGGUUAUUAUCCUCUAUUUUGAAAACUCGGGAUUCGUUUUGAUCCGUCAAAAGGGAAUAAAGCGAGUCUGAGGAUUCCCUAAUUUCAGCUAUAUCAGCAUUAGCCUAAUCGCAUUUUCUGGACUCCUUGUGUUGAAAUUUCCCUCGUUGGCUGUAUCAAGCGUAGUCUGAUAACGAAGAUUAACACCUCCGUUGAAGAUGCUGAUCAGCUGCGGCUCCACGUAGCCGUACAGACUUGGACCGUGGUAAAGGGAAGGAACUGUGAGGACUCCAGCCGUGGGAAGAUGUGUGGUGAUUGGGUCAUUGUUGAUAGAUGUGAAAUAUUGAUAACCUAUUGUGCUUGUUGUGAACUUAUGAUAGCCUAGUGUGCAACUUAUGUAUUAAGAACGAAUGGAUGUUGUAUGGAUCUUGUUUAAGUAUCUAUAAAAUAACAAUUUGCUUUA